AGCACCACCAGACAUACUGUAAUUAAUUUUGAAAAUGUGGCUACCUGCAGAUUUGUCAGGAGAAACUUGGCAAGUCAAAAGGGAGUGGCAUGAUACAUUCAAAGUGAUGAAUAAGAAAAAUCUCCAGCCAAGAAUACCCUAUCCAGCAAGGUUAUCAUUCAGAAUAGAAGGAGAGACAAAAGGAUUUUCAGACAAACAAAAACUAAAGGUUUGUUACCACUAAAGCAGCCCUGAAAGAAACAUUAAAGGGGACUCUUUCAAUGGGAAAGAAAGGCCAAAGGUGACAAAGACAAAAAAAGAUCAGAGAAAAUCUCCAGAAAUAAUUAUAAGAAAAUAGUAAGGUGGUAAUAUAUUAUACCUAUUAAUAAUUGUUUUGAAUUUCAAUAGACAAGACCCUCCAAUUAAAAGACAUAUGGUGUCAAAAUUA
Long non-coding RNA from Mustela erminea (ermine), 427 nucleotides. RefSeq lists it as uncharacterized. The transcript is spliced from 2 exons. Lineage: Eukaryota; Metazoa; Chordata; Mammalia; Carnivora; Mustelidae. The record is from RefSeq and is a predicted model, not a curated record.